AUUGAACGCUGGCGGCAGGCCUAACACAUGCAAGUCGAGCGAGCGGCGGACGGGUGUGUAAUGUAGGGGGAUCUGCCCGAUAGCGGGGGAUAACUACUGGAAACGGUGGCUAAUACCGCAAAACAUCGGCUUAAUCAACAUGGGACUAGCUAGUGGGUGGGGUAAAGGCUCACCUAGGCAACGAUCUAGAGAUGGUCUGAGAGGGUGAUCAGCCACACUGGAACUGAGACACUGCCCAGACUCCUACGGGAGGCAGCAGUGGGGAAUCUUGCACAAUGGGCGCAAGCCUGACGCAGCCAUGCCGCGUGUAUGAAGAAGGCCUUCGGGUUGUAAAGUACUUUCAGCGGGGAGGCGUUACCCACAGAAAAAGCACCGGCUAACUCCGUGCCAGCAGCCGCGGUAAUAC
This 406-nucleotide ribosomal RNA is filed under the name uncultured bacterium. Its description in RNAcentral is "partial 16S ribosomal RNA". It matches the Rfam family "Bacterial small subunit ribosomal RNA", at positions 30 to 526 of the family's 1533-position model. The record is from RNAcentral.